GUCUAUGCCAUGCCACCCUGAAAAAGCCCGAUGCCUGAUCUCGGAAGCUAAGCAGAGUUGGGCCUGGUUAGUACUUGGAUGGGAGACCACCUAGGAAGACCAGGUGCUAUGGGCA
This 115-nucleotide ribosomal RNA is filed under the name Pteropus alecto (black flying fox). Lineage: Eukaryota; Metazoa; Chordata; Mammalia; Chiroptera; Pteropodidae. The record is from RNAcentral. RNAcentral also lists the same sequence under 1 other name.